GCAUGGAGCCGACCUUGAAAUACCACCCUUUAAUGUUUGAUGUUCUAACGUUGACCCGUAAUCCGGGUUGCGGACAGUGUCUGGUGGGUAGUUUGACUGGGGCGGUCUCCUCCUAAAGAGUAACGGAGGAGCACGAAGGUUGGCUAAUCCUGGUCGGACAUCAGGAGGUUAGUGCAAUGGCAUAAGCCAGCUUGACUGCGAGCGUGACGGCGCGAGCAGGUGCGAAAGCAGGUCAUAGUGAUCCGGUGGUUCUGAAUGGAAGGGCCAUCGCUCAACGGAUAAAAGGUACUCCGGGGAUAACAGGCUGAUACCGCCCAAGAGUUCAUAUCGACGGCGGUGUUUGGCACCUCGAUGUCGGCUCAUCACAUCCUGGGGCUGAAGUAGGUCCCAAGGGUAUGGCUGUUCGCCAUUUAAAGUGGUACGCGAGCUGGGUUUAGAACGUCGUGAGACAGUUCGGUCCCUAUCUGCCGUGGGCGCUGGAGAAUUGAGGGGGGCUGCUCCUAGUACGAGAGGACCGGAGUGGACGCAUCACUGGUGUUCGGGUUGUCAUGCCAAUGGCACUGCCCGGUAGCUAAAUGCGGAAGAGAUAAGUGCUGAAAGCAUCUAAGCACGAAACUUGCCCCGAGAUGAGUUCUCCCUGACUCCUUGAGAGUCCUGAAGGAACGUUGAAGACGACGACGUUGAUAGGCCGGGUGUGUAAGCGCAGCGAUGCGUUGAGCUAACCGGUACUAAUGAACCGUGAGGCUUAACCUU
This 753-nucleotide ribosomal RNA is filed under the name Escherichia sp. S69_ASV_4. RNAcentral's name for it is "partial 23S ribosomal RNA". It matches the Rfam family "Bacterial large subunit ribosomal RNA", at positions 2178 to 2925 of the family's 2925-position model. The record is from RNAcentral. Lineage: Bacteria; Pseudomonadati; Pseudomonadota; Gammaproteobacteria; Enterobacterales; Enterobacteriaceae.